This 6976-nucleotide unclassified non-coding RNA is filed under the name Aplysia californica (California sea hare). RNAcentral describes it as "uncharacterized LOC101861518, transcript variant X1". The record is from RNAcentral. Lineage: Eukaryota; Metazoa; Mollusca; Gastropoda; Aplysiida; Aplysiidae.
GCGUAGUCAAGAAACACCGGCACGGGUCGCAGAGCCGCACUUUCUUUCUUUUUUUUCUUCGCAAGAGCCAACGCUGUUGGUCCGUCCUCAACAAACUCUUGGCACAAACUAAUGUUUGACAAACAAAUUUGAGCGUGUAUGGUGAACGUCAAACUGUCAACAACAACAAAAGAUGAAAAAUGUUUAACAAACAAAAUGUGAGCGUGUAGAGAUCUUGGCUAAAUCUAUGGGGCACUUUACUCUGACAACUGACAAGGCAGCAGUGGGAAGGGAAAUCACUCUCUUUUUUUUAGCGCUCUCUCUUGUUGACAACUGUCUAAGCGACCCGAGGCUUUUUCCUGUGGCGUUCCUUGGAAACUGUCAUGUCUGAGUAGGAGGGCUACUUCAAGAGAAAAUGAGUUCAAUUUCUAAUAGAAUGUUUGAAGUAUAACAUGUCAGUUGAGAGCCAUCCCACCUGCCAACUGAGGCUUUUGGGCUUAGAAGUUGGAUGAUGUGAGUUCUACCCCACACGUGGUACAGCUCAAUGAGGUUCCACUGCACUCAUGGCUCGGCUGUCCGCCUGUCCUCAAGCAGCAGUACAGCCACCAGAGAAGAGGACACCUUCUGCAAUGGCUUGGCCUUCUCUGAGCAACCCAUCAAAAUUAACCAACGGGUUUGCUUGGAGCUGGGCUCCUUGUCUACAUGGAGUGGUGGAAUCCGUAUAGGUGUGACCUCCUCCAACCCCAGCAAACUUGCUCCCGAGGAAUUGCCUCGAUUCGCGUAUCCAGACCUAGCUAACCGACAAGGAUUCUGGGUCAGGGUCUUGGGGGAGUCUCUGACAUGUACACCAGACUGUAGACUGACCGUAUAUCUGACCUCGUUUGGUCAGGUUCAAUUAUUCAUCAAUGGGCAACAUAAAGGAGCUUUACUUCUGGGUCUGCCGACCAAUCAAAACCUGUGGUUACUUCUGGAUAUCUAUGGCAAUACCAACAAGGCGACAUUUAUUCAGCCAGAUGAUGUUCCUAAAGAAAUUCAAGCCCGUGGCCCUGAAGUAGUUGAGGCCUAUGAACAGGCCUGUAUCUGGGGCACACAGUCAGUGUUCAGAUCUCGCCUCAUGCUUGUUGGCCAGGAGGGAGCUGGGAAGACCAGUCUGAAGAGAUCCCUCUUAGGACAGUGUCAUAACGAGACAGAGGAGACAACAGAGGGCAUAGACCUGUCAGCUUCGUGCUCCUUCUCACUGACCAGCAACAGGUCCUCUUGGAAGCUGGCCAUCAAGGGUGAUGAGACCGUGCGGCGAGAGAAGCUGCUGGACUCAGUGGACCUGGGAGUUUUAGGUAAUGCAGAAGGUCUGGAGGAGGAGUACAUCCGUGCUGUGGCUGCAAACAUUGCACAGGAGCUGAUGGCUGUGAGAAGGGAAAAGGCUGAACCUGGCCAGACAGCUGGAGGAAGAAGAGACUCUGUCAAGACAGACCCAACAAUCAACAAAACCAUGAAUUUCCAAGAAAGUGUUAAUAAGGAUGAUCUGCUCCAUGAGAUGAAAACCCUACCCAGCAUGCACCAAGAGGUUCCCGAUCAUGUUGUGGAUCUAGUCCAGGAGAUCCUACAACAGAAGAAAAACCAAGGGGCAAGAAAAGAUGGGGAAGAUCCUCAGGGUUUGGCGGAGAAACAGUUGCAGGAGCAGAGGGUGGUGCUCAAUAUCUGGGACUUUGCUGGCCAGGCCGCGUACUACACCACACAUCAGGUGUUCCUGACUCACCGAGCUGUUUACUGUAUAGUGUUCAACCUCUGUGAUGAUCUCACUGAAAACCGACCCGAAUCUGUAGACAAAACUUCUGGGAAGAACAACAAUACAAUGACCACUCUACAGUAUAUGGAUUUCUGGAUGAGAUCUAUACACGCCCAUGCUGCUGAAAACUCAAGUAACAAGGUGGAUAACACCCAGCUGUCUCCUCCUAUCUUCAUCGUGGGGACCCACAGAGACAGUGUCCAUCCAGACCCUGAAGUCAGAGAUCAGAUGGUUGAGGAAAAGUUUGCUGUAAUCCGCGAGUUUGUCCUGGGCAAGCCCUAUGUCCAGCACCUUGUGUUGCCUUUCUAUGCAGUCGAGAACGCACCAGAGUCAGAAGAAGAUCCAAAGCUCAACGAGUUGCGCCAAGAUGUGGAGCGUGUUGCCGGCCAACAGCCUUAUGUCGGAGAACAUCUACCUCUAAAGUGGCUGCGAUUUGAGCAGGAUUUUACUGUGCAGGCAGAUGCUGGAGUGAACUUUGCCUCAUUUGACCAGGUGUAUGAGCUGGCAGUUAACCACAGGAUCAGCGGCCCGGCAGAAGUGAAAGCAUUACUGCAGUUUUAUCACGACAUUGGCUCCCUGGUCCACUAUGGCAGUCAGAUGACCAGUGACCCAGUGCUCAGCAACACAGUGGUCCUCAACCCACAGUGGCUCAUCUCCAUGUUCCACAAGGUCACUGCCAGUUUUCCACCAAAGGAGCAGUGGAACUUGUUGUCGGACAAGUGGGCCCAGCUGAUAGAUCACGGAGUCCUGGACGAGAGUUUGCUGCCCGUGAUCUGGUCAGACAUGUCUGACCAUCAACCCUUCCUUUUGGCGCUGAUGUCGAAGUUUGACUUGAUUUGUCCCCGAUUGCCUCCUGCAGGACAGACUUACAGACAGACAAGUAAAAACUACUAUGUGCCAAUGCGAUUUGGUUCUUAUAAAGACAAGAAAAAAGUUUAUGCACAAACAGUGCACGAUGCUCAGUUUUUUGUGGAUUUUGGUGGAUUUUUGCCAGAUGGUCUGUUUCAUCGCAUCCAAGCCCGUGUGAUUAGCUGGUCCCAGGAACAUGGUGGUCGUGAUCUAUUUCUGGCACGGGGCCUAGCACGAGUCUUUGUAGACCCAGAUCACGACCUUCUGCUUGAGAUGUGUGCACCACAUCUACACCGCAUCAAGGUCCUAGUAAUGCAUGUCAAAGACAAAGAAGCGACGUCUUCUAAGCGAAACUCAAGCCCUUCCCCUCAUGUGGUGGCUAAGGUUCGCAACUUUCUGGAGUCAUGUCUUGUGGAUCUACGCAGCAUGUGGAUGAAACGCUUGGCUUACAACAUGUGCUUUGUAUGUCCAUGUGGACGGCCGUGUCUUCUUCACAACCAGGACAGCUGUCAGAUGGAGGAAUGUAUGCAUUUCCUUGACUUGGACGAAUGUCUAAGCAACCAGGUGGUGUGUUGUGAACACAGGAGAGUUAAGACAGAUGCCUUCAAGAAAUGGUUUCCUGAAUCACACCAGCAAGAGUUUAAAGAACCGAUCUUGAACCCGGUGACCAUAGAGCAGGGGCGAGGCAACAUAGAAAGAAACAUUCCCAACCUGCCCAGCUGGCUGAAGGGGGCUGCAAAACUCCUCAACGGAGCACCAGAGAACCAGGGCUGGAUAGCCCUAGCACAGCACAUGGGUUACAAACAAGGUCGUAUCGACUUGCUGAAUGAGGACUUGAACCCCUCGCUAGCCCUUCUCACAGACUGGAUCGUCAGCUCCGGCAACACGGCCAUGUCUGUGGACGUCCUGCUGCACCACCUGCAGCAGCUGCCGGCGCCGGAUAUUGUAGAGCUUAUCACCAGAGCCAAAGAGACAGAGCUGGAGCGGCCUCAGCUGUUCCUCAGCUACCAGUGGGACGUCCAGGACGAAGUGAGUGCGUUGAGGGACCACCUGGAACACGCCGGAUUCUCCUGCUGGAUGGACAUUGGUCAGAUGGGUGGCGGAGACCAACUGUCAGCGAAGAUUGACCAGGGUAUUCGGAACUGUAAGGUUGUUGUAGCUUGCGUCACACCCAAGUACACAGCAUCGCACCUGUGUAACAGAGAGCUGUGGCUGGCCGACCUGUUGCACAAGCCCAUCAUCCCCGUCAUCAUGGAGACUGUGAGCUGGCCGCCCCCUGGUGGGAUGGCUGUCAUCUUGUCACAGCUCGUCUACAUCAACAUGAAAGGUGUGGGUGGACAUGGUGGGACAGGCAUACAUGCUGACCUCAUGGACAAGUACACGGAAGUGGUCCAGCGCGUGUCUCUACACGCUGAGCCAGACCUGACCCCUUGUCUGGACACCACCGUGGUAGUCCCCGUCGAAGCCCCGACUCACAUGUCGGAUCAUCUCUCAGGUUACCGCACCAGCAUGAGCUCCCUGAGUGAGGUGGACUUCCAUCGUCACUCCAGCCACAGAGACUCCUCUCUAGACAUGAUGCUGUCCCGCUACGGGGACGCCCCGCCCGACCCCGCCUCUUUCAACACCUGGAGCCAUCAGGGCAGUACACGGACAGGGCCCAGGAACACAGCACACCGGAACGCAGUGCCUCAAGCACACGUGAAGAAGUGCGCUGUGUGUGUGGUUCUGUAGUCAGGAAUGCAGAACCUCAAGCACAUGUGAAGAAGAGUGCUAUGCGUGGUUCUGUAGUCAGGAACGCAGAACCUCAAGCACAUAUGAAGAGGUGCGCUGUGUGUGUGGUUCUGUAGUCAGGAACGCUGUACCUCAAGCAAAUGUGAAGAAGUGUGCUGUGUGUGUGGCUCUGUAGUCAGAUGCUGCUGUCUGUGGCAAAUCUGGAACCCCAAGCACACGUGAAAAAACAUGCCUUGUGUUUGGUUGUGCAGUUGUGACAAAAUAUUCUGUGUCUGAUCUUGAAUCCUGUACCCCAAGAAGUGUGUUGUGGGUGUGAUUCUGUAUUUAUAGGUGAAGUUUUAUGUCAAAUUGAGAAUCUUGUACUUCAUGCACACACGACGAAGUGUGUUGUUCUGUAUUGAGAUGAUGUACUUGUUGUGUCAAGUUUGUGUCCAGAACAUCAUGUCGUACAAUGCUGUUAUUAGUAAGGGGUCAUGGAAAGACCACGGUACUUAAAAUGCAUGGUUUCUUGUCCUUUAUUAUGUAAACUAUAACGGUGAAAUGUAGGGUGACCUUGUUAGCAUGAGCACAUUACCUCUUACUUCCACCUUUGACCCCUUAUUAAACAAUCUCUCUUCAGUCGUCAAGAUCUGGGGCCAGUCUCCUCAACACUGCAGGAAUGUCAGUUUCCUGAGACAAGUGUUGGUCCUUUCACUGAGGGUGUGUCCUUCCAGGUGUCAUGGAUAUUUUAGAAAUAACUUGUUAACAUUUCUGCUGUGAUUAUCUUUUUUAAAGGGGAGGGAUCACUAGCUGCCGCCCCACCUUUCUUAACCACGUUGGGGGCCAGCUAUAACAAAAUUGGUGUGAGCUGUCAUUUUUUCCUCUUAUAUUUCGUAUUGCCAAAGGCUGUGACUUCAUUUCAUACUCACUUCUUACCUUCGUUUAUUAUUUUUUGCAUGUACCAUUGCUUUGAAGACGUGGAAAAUGGCUGACUUGUCUAGUCGAGUGCUUCAUGGUCAUUGAAUUUAGGCUCUGUACAUUUAUCUAGUGAUUCUUGACUGAACCAGGUGGUAUCUCAUGAAACUGCUGAAACUUUUUGAGCUUUGAAUGUUGUCUUUGUGUUUCUUUGUGUCCAUUUUUUCUUACUUAAGAAAUAUUAAAUAUUAAAAUUAACCAUCAUUGUCUGACCAGAGUCAGUCUUUCCAACGUUAUGUGCUUGGGAAAGGCACUUUACACAAAUUUUCCGGUUUGGCUUGGUUCUACUGGAAGUGUAUGUUAAAUUCAGAGGUCCCUCUCCUUGAAUAACCUUAGUUUUGCAAGGGACUGUAAACCUAUACAAUUUCUUAAUUUUUUUUCCGCGAGUCAUUCUCUUGCUAUUUAGUUGGAUUAUAGAAUAGCCCUGGCUUUAAUGGAGUUUAGCAGCUGAGAUUAAAAUUUGAUGUACACUCGUAUAGCUUUUGUGAAAGUGAUAUUAAAAAACAUUUCAUUGCAUUCUUCUAUACCCACUUUUUUGAUGACCCAGAAAAGACUAUUUGCUUACAUAUAUAAUAUAUAUGGUGGAUUAAUUUUUUAGGUUACAAAGUGAUACAUUUAUAUGAAAAUGAUAUGAAAUUUAUGAAUACCCUUAAGCUGAGAAGGGCUUUUGUAGUGUCAUAGAAAUCCUAACUUUGUGUUCCAAAGGUUUCCUAUUCACUAUCAUUUUAUUAUAACAAUGAAGUUUAUGGUAUUUUCUUACUAAAGAAAAAGUAAAGUUUCCUAGUGCACUACACUCUUGUUUCAAAGAUGGAACCCUUUGCUGUUCAAAGUGGCCCCUGAUUCAAAAAGUAUGCUCACCCCUGGUCUAAACAGUAGGCCUAUGCCUGCAGCUGUCCAAAAAGGUAGCUUGUGCUAUGUGUGGGGAAAAGCGUCCUAAAUGAAGUGUGAGUGUAAAUCGUAUUUUUUGCAUUACUGUUUUGAGAUGUUUGCUCACCUACUCUCGAUUUAUGAUCAUAAAAGGUACUAUUUAUUUCUAUCCCAAUUUUGUUAACUGAAUAAAUCUUUGUUAAGCAAGAUUCAGUAUAUAAGAGGCAUCGCUUUGUGCUUUUCCUGUGCUAAUGAAAUGACUUAUCUUAUAGCUCUUCUGUUUGAAAUAAUCUGUGAUAUAAAACUAGCUCACUACAACUAGCAUUGAUUUUUCAGCUCAGAAAUAAAUUUAUAAUGUGUUGUAUUGUCAUGAAGUGUAACUGAUAAAGGACUGCAUUGUGUUGGUACCAUUUGUGUUGUGUUAUGUGGCUAUCCAGUAGUAGCCUUGAUCUAAAUCUCUAAUUUAGAUUAAUGAUGACAUGACAGUAAUGUUUCUGAGAAGUGAGUAUGUGAUGUUUUGUUAUGUUGGAAUGUAGGUUCAAAAAAGUACCCUUCUGGUUGACUUUGAGUGCAGUCCUACACAAACCUUUUUGUGGUUACAUUUGAAUGUAGUCACAAACACAUAUGUGGUUACAUUUGAAUGUAGUCACAAACACAUAUGUGGUUACAUUUGAAUGUAGUCACAAACACAUAUGUGGUUACAUUUGAAUGUAGUCACAAACACAUAUGUGGUUACAUUUGAAUGUAGUCACAAACACAUAUGAGGUUACAUUUGAACAUAAGCAGAAACAAAUGCCCCCUGAUUACAUU